GUUACCAUUUGUGUAUUGCUGAAGAAAGAAAGUCCUAUGGAUUUGGAAAGAGGUGAAGGAGCAUCUUUGCGACGCACUCGGCUCCAGCAGACUGAAGAUGAUUGUCAGAGAGAUCCUGGAAGACACCAGAAGUUAACAUUUUGCUUCCCUCUAGUGGACAAAUGCAUCACAGCAGCUCCAGGGUUGUGGUGUGCAUGUCUGUCUACACACACAGAGCG
Long non-coding RNA from Cyprinus carpio (common carp), 218 nucleotides. RefSeq lists it as uncharacterized. NCBI's taxonomy places the organism in Eukaryota, Metazoa, Chordata, Actinopteri, Cypriniformes, Cyprinidae. The record is from RefSeq and is a predicted model, not a curated record. The transcript has 3 exons.